ACCGACGAUGCGUAGGGGUUCUGAGAGGAAGGCCCCCCACACUGGUACUGAGACACGGACCAGACUCCUACGGAAGGCAGCAG
RNAcentral lists this ribosomal RNA (83 nucleotides) under uncultured bacterium. RNAcentral's name for it is "partial 16S ribosomal RNA". It matches the Rfam family "Bacterial small subunit ribosomal RNA", at positions 272 to 354 of the family's 1533-position model. The record is from RNAcentral.